RNAcentral lists this ribosomal RNA (401 nucleotides) under Stenotrophomonas rhizophila. RNAcentral's name for it is "bacterial SSU rRNA". It matches the Rfam family "Bacterial small subunit ribosomal RNA", at positions 15 to 410 of the family's 1533-position model. Lineage: Bacteria; Pseudomonadati; Pseudomonadota; Gammaproteobacteria; Lysobacterales; Lysobacteraceae. The record is from RNAcentral.
GAUCCUGGCUCAGAGUGAACGCUGGCGGUAGGCCUAACACAUGCAAGUCGAACGGCAGCACAGUAAGAGCUUGCUCUUAUGGGUGGCGAGUGGCGGACGGGUGAGGAAUACAUCGGAAUCUACCUUUUCGUGGGGGAUAACGUAGGGAAACUUACGCUAAUACCGCAUACGACCUUCGGGUGAAAGCAGGGGACCUUCGGGCCUUGCGCGGAUAGAUGAGCCGAUGUCGGAUUAGCUAGUUGGCGGGGUAAAGGCCCACCAAGGCGACGAUCCGUAGCUGGUCUGAGAGGAUGAUCAGCCACACUGGAACUGAGACACGGUCCAGACUCCUACGGGAGGCAGCAGUGGGGAAUAUUGGACAAUGGGCGCAAGCCUGAUCCAGCCAUACCGCGUGGGUGAAG